CAACAGCUGAAAGGAGGUGAUCCAGUGUCGAGAGAAGCAUUGGAGAGAGGUGUCGGAACAGUUCGGGAGAGCGCGCUCUAGGGCAGCCCCUGGGGCGAUGAUCCCCCGAAUUGGCAGAGCCUAACCGGCCCCGCCUCCGUAUUCUCGAAGGGCCGCUGAUCUGGCGGCCCU
RNAcentral lists this small RNA (171 nucleotides) under Antarctobacter albus. RNAcentral describes it as "Mameliella alba caulobacter sRNA CC2171". The record is from RNAcentral. Lineage: Bacteria; Pseudomonadati; Pseudomonadota; Alphaproteobacteria; Rhodobacterales; Roseobacteraceae.